UUCAACUGAUAUCGACACACUAGCAUGUGGGGACAUGGAAAUAAGGUUUAACGGCCGCCUAGACUUAUAACUAUGAACAGCUUCAAAUGGAUUCAAACCUAGAGACCGAUUUACAGAAUUGUUAUACGCAAUUUGAACAGUGGGGGGAAUCAAGUCCCAAUUUCUAAGAUUUUUCUGCACUAGAGACUUGAAUAAAUUGCCAGGACUUUGGUUAACGACUUCAUUUUGACCAUCAGUUUGAAGUUGGUCAGUAGUGGGGAAUGUUGAUUUAAUGCUAACCACAGGUGACUGGAUUCUCCAAGGGUGGCCAGUGAAAUCAUCAAGCUCUUUGAGUUGUGCAAGGGUAUGACAUAUAACAUGUGACCGAGAGUUGUCAGAAACAAGGGAUAUAGUAUCUAAAGUCUCGGGAAGAGUCUGGAGUCCACCUAAAGAAGUGUCCUCACUAUCAUCCAAGUCAUCAAAAUCUUCAAGUUUAGGUUCAUAGACUAGAUCUUCUAAUGGCAUAUCUAUUACAUUCUUUCGUUCUUCCAUGACUAAGGUUCGAUUAGUACAUUUGGAAGAAAUGUGGCCAAAGUCUUUACAGUUGACGCACAACAAGUGAGAAGAAGACCUUGGAGUUUCAGAAAUUUUACCCUGAUUUUCCAAGAUUGGAGAACCAUUAGAAGGGGGAGGUCCUAGAAGGGACUUAACGGGAGGUGGAGCCAAUGAAGCAAAAUGAUGAUUAUAAAAAUUUUUAUCCUUAUUUUCCAAAAUUGGAGGAACAUCAGAUGGGGGUGGUCCUAGAAGGGACUUAACGGGAGGAAUUGGAGCCAAUGACACCGAAGGAUGAUUGUCAAUAUGCUUUCUACAUGGAAAAGGAGAUUGUGGACUAUCACGACCUUUACAAUUAUUUUUCCAAAUAGGAGGAACAUUAGACGGAGACGAUUUUAUGAUAGACUUAUGAUGAGGCGACGCUAAUGAGAUGGGUGAGCGACGAUGACCACGCUUUUCAUAUGGAGUACUAAUAAUCAACUCAUAAUCUCGAGCUAAAGAGUAAGCGUGAUUAAAAGUAGUGACACCUCGAAGGAAAAGCUCGCGCUUAAGAUCAUCUCUCAGACCUUGGCUAAACCUACUCAAAGUCGUACUCUCAUCCUCAAUUAAAUGACAUUUGAUUCGAAAUUCCUCAAAUUGCGCAAUAUACUCAGUCACUAAUUGAUUUCCUUGUUUAAGGGCAUUCCAUUGAGUAAGAAUUUCAAAAUUAUCUCGUUCUCGCUCACGAAUCUGAUCCCUAUUCCUAUCCCUAUCCUUAC
This 1289-nucleotide long non-coding RNA is filed under the name Olea europaea (common olive). RNAcentral's name for it is "long non-coding RNA (OEUR_LNC003230)". The record is from RNAcentral. Lineage: Eukaryota; Viridiplantae; Streptophyta; Magnoliopsida; Lamiales; Oleaceae.